AACGCACCUUGCGCUCCUUGGUAUUCCGAGGAGCAUGCCUGUUUGAGUGUCAUGAAAUUCUCAACCUAACGGGUUCUUAACGGGACUUGCUUAGGCUUGGACUUGGAGGCUCUUGUCGGCUUGCUUUCGUCAAGUCGGCUCCUCUCAAAUGCAUUAGCUUGGUUCUUUGCGGAUCCGGCUCACGGUGUGAUAAUUGUCUACGCCGCGACCGUUGAAGCGUUUUAAUGGGACUAGCUUCUAACCGUCUCCUCGCGAGACAGCAUUCAUCGAACUCUGACCUCAAAUCAGGUAGGACUACCCGCUGAACUUAA
Molecule: unclassified non-coding RNA, 311 nt
Filed under: Clavulinopsis sp.
Lineage: Eukaryota; Fungi; Basidiomycota; Agaricomycetes; Agaricales; Clavariaceae
Description: partial contains 5.8S ribosomal RNA, internal transcribed spacer 2, and large subunit ribosomal RNA
Rfam family: 5.8S ribosomal RNA (bases 1-52)
Source: RNAcentral